UGGGGAAUAUUGGACAAUGGGGGCAACCCUGAUCCAGCAAUGCCGCGUGUGUGAAGAAGGUCUUCGGAUUGUAAAGCACUUUCGACGGGGACGAUGAUGACGGUACCCGUAGAAGAAGCCCCGGCUAACUUCGUGCCAGCAGCCGCGGUAAUACGAAGGGGGCUAGCGUUGCUCGGAAUGACUGGGCGUAAAGGGCGUGUAGGCGGUUUACACAGUCAGAUGUGAAAUCCCCGGGCUUAACCUGGGAGCUGCAUUUGAUACGUGUAGACUAGAGUGUGAGAGAGGGUUGUGGAAUUCCCAGUGUAGAGGUGAAAUUCGUAGAUAUUGGGAAGAACACCGGUGGCGAAGGCGGCAACCUGGCUCAUGACUGACCCUGAGGCGCGAAACGCGUGGGGAGCAAACAGGAUUAGAUACCCUGGUAGUCCACGCUGUAAACGAUGUGUGCUAGAUGUUGGGUAACUUUGUUAUUCAGUGUCGCAGUUAACGCGUUAA
Molecule: ribosomal RNA, 492 nt
Filed under: uncultured bacterium
Lineage: Bacteria
Description: partial 16S ribosomal RNA
Rfam family: Bacterial small subunit ribosomal RNA
Source: RNAcentral